CAGUAUGUUCUGUAGAUCUGGUGUCUUUGGAUAAAACCGUGGGGAUGGAGGCUCUUGCUUUUUAAGCUGGGCCGCUCCCCCAUGUGGCCCGCAAGGGAAUCCAGCACCGCCCAACCUUGCUAAUUCCAAAAAAUACAUCGUUGCCUCGGCGGGCCAGCCUGCCGGCGGACACAUUAAACUCUUUUGUUAAACAACAAGCUGCAAUUAGUGCAACAGUCUGACUAUUUUUUAAACAAAAAUUA
Molecule: unclassified non-coding RNA, 242 nt
Filed under: uncultured Dothideomycetes
Lineage: Eukaryota; Fungi; Ascomycota; Dothideomycetes
Description: sequence contains ITS1
Source: RNAcentral